UGCUUUUGAAAGGUCAGCGGCGGACGGGUGAGUAACACGUGGGCAACCUGCCUGUAAGACUGGGAUAACUUCGGGAAACCGGAGCUAAUACCGGAUAAUAUAAGGAACCUCCUGGUUCUUUAUUGAAAGAUGGUUUCGGCUAUCACUUACAGAUGGGCCCGCGGCGCAUUAGCUAGUUGGUGAGGUAACGGCUCACCAAGGCGACGAUGCGUAGCCGACCUGAGAGGGUGAUCGGCCACACUGGGACUGAGACACGGCCCAGACUCCUACGGGAGGCAGCAGUAGGGAAUCUUCCACAAUGGACGAAAGUCUGAUGGAGCAACGCCGCGUGAGCGAUGAAGGCCUUCGGGUCGUAAAGCUCUGUUGUUAGGGAAGAACAAGUGCGAGAGUAACUGCUCGCACCUUGACGGUACCUAACCAGAAAGCCACGGCUAACUACGUGCCAGCAGCCGCGGUAAUACGUAGGUGGCAAGCGUUGUCCGGAAUUAUUGGGCGUAAAGCGCGCGCAGGUGGUCCUUUAAGUCUGAUGUGAAAGCCCACGGCUCAACCGUGGAGGGUCAUUGGAAACUGGGGGACUUGAGUGCAGAAGAGGAAAGUGGAAUUCCAAGUGUAGCGGUGAAAUGCGUAGAGAUUUGGAGGAACACCAGUGGCGAAGGCGAC
Molecule: ribosomal RNA, 660 nt
Filed under: Sutcliffiella horikoshii
Lineage: Bacteria; Bacillati; Bacillota; Bacilli; Caryophanales; Bacillaceae
Description: bacterial SSU rRNA
Rfam family: Bacterial small subunit ribosomal RNA
Source: RNAcentral